CCCCCCACCAUGAGGGAUAAUGCGCGUUGAUUGGCUUUUCGUCCUAUCGCUCUUGACUGUGACCAAUCAGAGCCACAAGCGGUGACCAGACGGGCCGGGUGGGGGCGGGGCCUCGCCGCUCGGUGCCCAGCGUGGUGGGGCGCUGAGGUACUUCCCGCCCUCACUGCGCCGCAGCAGCUGAUAGUCUGUCCCUUCGCACCUCUUCUCCACCGGGAGAGCCCCCGGGAAAGCCAUUUUUCUUCCCAAAGGGAAACUUAGGCCAGUUUCCCAGAGGGUCUGAUGGCACGAAAAGGCUGAGGAGCCUCAAGGCUGGCCCAGUGCCUCUGAGAAGCGGGUGAAGUCAUGGCCUGUUGCUUUGAUAAGAGGUGCUGUUCUCCUCCUGUUGGCUUCAGAGUGCUGUAAAAGAAGCGCCGAUUCAGAAUUACAGAAGUGGUGAGAAGAAAAAGGAGACGUCAAGUAGUGCAGAGAGACAGAAACUCAGAUAUUAAACUUUCAGAUGGAAUGAGUGCCCAUGUGCAAGCUUUGGUAGCAGAACAGCUUCAGGGGUUGGCCUUCGUGAGAAGAGACCUCCAUCUCCAACAGAGCCAGUGAUCUCUGAAAUACACCUGCUGCAGGAUAAAGAUCGAAAAGAAAUAUCUUCCUGGCAGCACUGCGUAUGGAAGGAAUAAGGAAAGUAACAAGGAGAAAGUUGCGCGCAUUUACAACAUGAAGAUGCUAUUCAAGGUCAGAAGAAGAAGGUCUUCUAUCUACGUAGAAGGAGGUGGAGACCAUAUAAACACUCAUUGAAAGAGACCCAUGAAGAAAACAGAAGUAGGGGAAAGCACUACAGCUGGAAAAUAAAUCUUGACAAUCCUCCAUUCUUGCUGUCAGACAACACCAGAAGCACACUGGCUUCAAGCAGUCCAGUAUCAAAGUGGAUUUGGAGAUUUGGCUAUUGAUUUCUCCUCUCUGUGUCUCAGAUGGAAGAGGUGGAGCAGUUGAGUUCUUCCUUAUUCUCCUCUCUACUGGGAGAUGGUUGGAAGUACAAAGAGGGGAAAAAUAACCGGUGAAUACGUAACAGGAACAACUCGUUCUUGGAUUCAGAGCUGUCUGUGGACAAUCUGUAAGCCAGUGUUUUAAGUAAAAUAUGUGACUAAUGAUCCCUAUGAGGAGCAUGAAGUAAUUAAUACCUGGAGGUGAUAUACAAGGCUGAGGGAAAGUGGGAUGAAG
RNAcentral lists this long non-coding RNA (1209 nucleotides) under Gallus gallus (chicken). Its description in RNAcentral is "lncRNA (ENSGALG00010010213.1)". Lineage: Eukaryota; Metazoa; Chordata; Aves; Galliformes; Phasianidae. The record is from RNAcentral.